GACCAGCACACACAGUAGCACUCCUGUCCUGUCCCCUCCAUGGCUGAUUAACCCUGCUGGUUAAUUAGUGUGAUUAGGAUCAGAACACACCAGGAGGCCAUUACCCAUAAACCACAGCAAGGCUCAGGGGAAGGUUCAAGCAGAGAAAUCUCAACAGCUGCAACAUGUCAGGAACAAAAUAACAACACGGACUGAAACUUUUCCCUCAUGUCUUCCUUUUCACUUACAAGGGGGAUAAGGACUGGAAAGGAUGGAGGAAGCUGGUGCUGGGAGCAACCAUAGUGACCAACUCUAAGUUGAGGAUGGGGCAAGGUGAAGCUCAGAUACUCCAGCCUGACUGGCAAUACAUGCUGCUUUAUUUGUUCACCCUGGAGUCAGGCCUGAUGAGGAACUAAUAGUCCCACGUCUGAGGAUGCAGCAGAAGCUGGCGAGGAUUUCACCACAUUUGGUGGCAGCUGCUUCUGUUCUUGCCGCCUGAACAGAUUCCCUCACAGUUCCUGCACGUACACUGUCAUCCCAGCUCCAAACCAUACCAAAUGAGAUCUGACAGCAGGUCGGGUACAGAACUGAUUGUGUAGAAGACACCAGCCCUCCCAGAAGGGCCGUUUACUGCCUGAUGGAACGACAACAAGAUAACGAGAACUCCACCACACCUCUGUUGGGACCAGGAGUGACA
Molecule: long non-coding RNA, 676 nt
Organism: Branchiostoma belcheri (Belcher's lancelet)
Lineage: Eukaryota; Metazoa; Chordata; Leptocardii; Amphioxiformes; Branchiostomatidae
Exons: 4
Source: RefSeq, a predicted model, not a curated record